AUGAACGCUGGCGGCGUGCCUCAUACAUGCCAGUCGAGCGAACAGACGAGGAGCUUGCUCCUCUGACGUUAGCGGCGGACGGGUGAGUAACACGUGGAUAACCUACCUAUAAGACUGGGAUAACUUCGGGAAACCGGAGCUAAUACCGGAUAAUAUAUUGAACCGCAUGGUUCCAUAGUGAAAGACGGUUUUGCUGUCACUUAUAGAUGGAUCCGCGCCGCAUUAGCUAGUUGGUAAGGUAACGGCUUACCAAGGCGACGAUGCGUAGCCGACCUGAGAGGGUGAUCGGCCACACUGGAACUGAGACACGGUCCAGACUCCUACGGGAGGCAGCAGUAGGGAAUCUUCCGCAAUGGGCGAAAGCCUGACGGAGCAACGCCGCGUGAGUGAUGAAGGUCUUCGGAUCGUAAAACUCUGUUAUUAGGGAAGAACAAAUGUGUAAGUAACUAUGCACGUCUUGACGGUACCUAAUCAGAAAGCCACGGCUAACUACGUG
Molecule: ribosomal RNA, 496 nt
Filed under: uncultured bacterium
Lineage: Bacteria
Description: partial 16S ribosomal RNA
Rfam family: Bacterial small subunit ribosomal RNA
Source: RNAcentral